AGAGGGGUGGGGCUUAGGCUGCAAGACCAUCAAGUCUAGCUGCUUUCCCAAGCAACCCCUCUGUUUGUUUGAGACUGUGCUAAGGCAAGCAGGAGCGGAUAUGGAUUCUUUCACAACACCUGUAGGCCCCCUCACCACAACCCCUAGAUGGCUGCAUAGAAAGCAUUACUGUAGAAAUAGUUUUGAGGAGGAGGGCAGGCCCCUAGCACAAAGACUCUUUGAGGUGCCUGACCCUGUUCAGGAAGACCCAAUGAACAGGCAAAUUGAGGAGGCCCAAGCCCCCGAAGCAAACAUUGAGAAUUUGGAAAAUGGUAUCUUUGUGCCAGAGCCUGCAUGUGAAGUAGAGGUCAUCGCAGAGCAGAGUUACGUGAAGUCUUUUUAAUGACUCCAGAAAGCCUACUCACCAGUACACCCAUACAGAUGACACCAGAAAGAAGCGUAUGCUUCUGCAGAGAACAGAGACCAGAUGAGGCUGAAGAGUUCAGAAGACAAUUAGGUAUUGAAUCAUAAGAGAGCUUAUCUAGUGGGAAAGCCCCAUGCAAUUUUACCACAGCAAGAACCUCUUCUUCUAAAAUAGAAAAGCAGAACAAACACAUACAGUCAUGUUUUUAUCCAGUAGUAAAAGUGAUCACACGCACCACUCCUGAAGAAGAGCAGGGGCCAGGGCGGAGACCUCUAAAAACACAAUAAAAAAACCAUAAAUGCUCAGCCUGCAGAUCAUAACACCCAAGGAUCAGAAGACCAUCAGGACAGAACAGAAGGGCAUGGUUCCUCAGAGGAAAACACGCCACCUACCUCUGAGAAAAUCAUAUGUAAAAACACAAGGAUUCACACCCCCAAAACAGGUGAUCUGGGCCCCGUGAAUAAGAAACGCAGGACUGGUUGCUCACACAAUUUAGAGAAAGAGGAGAGUCUUCUCCUUUUUUUGAAAGAUCAUGAUUAUUGUGAAAAAAAGUGGGGUUUGGGGUGGUGCUGGCAGGUGUAUACAUCUCAAAAAAAGUGUGCGGAGUGCUUUGAAAGAUCAUGAUUACCACUGGAGCAAAAGGGUAAAUUUUACUCAGGAGGUAGUCUGUGUAACUCGGACAGCAGUCGUGGCCUGUAUCAUAAGGGGGAGUCAUGGUAAACACGAGGAUAAGAAUGGGUGGCUAACCAGCAAGUGGCUUACAGGGCAAAAAGUAAGGGCCUGGUUAAAGAGGAGCGUGGGGAAGGCUAAACACCAGUUGAGAAAAAAUAGGAGAUCCCCUAAUAAUGGCGCUUUAGAAGGCCCCUUGAAUGCUUCCCCUCCUCCCAGGCUUGACCCUCUACCAAGACCCAUGGAGCCAGAGAGAGGAUGGAGAAUAUGAUUCAGGAAGCCUUUACGAGGGCCCCUCAAAUGUUCCUCGGCCUCCCAGGCCUGACCCACCACCAAGACCUGACGAGUCAGAGAGUUGGGAUAGCGAAGCUGAUGUGGAAGGCACUUUAUAGGACCCCUCAAGCACCCCCCAGUCUCCUGAGUCAGCAGAGGAUGUUUUACUGGACGUACAUAUGGUGCGGGUGAGAAGGCAAGAGGGGUCUGUAGCCAGGUUUGGGGGGACGAGGUACACAGAGGAGUUCCGUUUUGUGAAUCUGGAGCGUGUGCCAUUACACAUGGCAUAUGAAGCCGUAGGCAGAGGGGUAGAAGAAAUUGUAGCAGAACUCCGCCAGAGAUUCACAGGCAAUGACUAUGCCCAGUUACAUAUUCAGGCAGGUAGCAGGGCAAACUGUUUAUACUCUCGAGCUAUUAAUUUAAACCAGAUGACCCCAGAGCUGUUUUUAGAGUAGUUCAGUAACCUGUUACAAAGCUAGAGAGAAAUAUUGCUUGAUUCGACAUUUCGGCUGGUUGUGGUCAUUGUGAGAGGCCAGGGUGGUGGGAGCCAUAGAGUUAUAAGCUCUAUCCCCUAUUCCCAGAUCAUUGCUAAAAAGAGGAUGUAUUUAAUCAACUUGAAUACCUAUGAUACUAACCUGUGCUUUGCAGGCAGUCUAUUGGCUGUUACAAAAUGUACAGGGGCCAGAGAUGCCGAACUGCUAGAUGGUGCCAAAGAACUGCACAGGAAAUUAGGCAUGUCUGUAUACCAAAAGGUUAUGCUCCAUCAGGUACCUUUGUUUGAAGAUCUUGAACAGGUUAAUAUUCACAUAGUGAUCCAUAAGGAAAAAAAUGGGUGGAGUUUAUUUAAAACACAGGACACGCUCAGAUACCCUGACACCUGUUUUCUUCUGCUGCAUGGUGAACAUUAUUACCUAUUUUGGAGGUGAACAAGGUGUUUGGCAUGAGAAAUUAUUGCAAUCUUUGUCAUAAGUUGUACAGCCAUAGCCAUAUGUGCAGGUUCUGAUGUUGUCUUUGCCUGAGUCCAAACUGUGCUGAAAACAUGGGCAGGACACAGAGGUGCCCUAAUUGUAAGCUGUUCUGUCAUUCCAAAGAGUGCUUAGAAAGGCACGUGACCCUGGCCUCUGAAAAGUAGAUUGAAUGUCCUAAAACUCUGUGUGAUGAGUAUAAAUCUUGCAUGAACAAAAAGCACAAGUGCAAAGGGCAGCAGUGCAAACAGUGUUAUGGGAAAAUCACGGAUGUAAACGAGCACUGGUGUUUUAUGCGCCAGAUUAAAGAGCCUGAAGAAGGCAAGGGGUACAUUUUUUAUGAGUUUGAUUGUGUGCAGGAGAUGGGGAUGCAUGUGCCCAAGGACAUUUUUGCAAUGGAGCUAAAGACGGGGAAAAAAACCCUCAAAAAGUCGCAGGCAAAAACCCCAAAAAGGCUUGUAAAGCUAAGCCCAAAAAGCCUGAAAGCACUUGGGAGUUUAAGGGUGAAGAGUGUCUGUCUGAUUUUAUUAAGGUCUUUAUGGAUAAAAAGUUCAAGGACUACACCUUCAUAGCUCACAACGCCAAAGGCUAUGAUGGUUACUUCAUUGUUAGCCAGUUAUUGAAGGAAAAAAUGGGCGUGAAACUAAUCACCCAGGGCAGUAAACUCAUGUGCAUUGAAGUGACCAGGCUAGGCAUCCAUUUCAUAGAUUCUUCAAACUUCUUGCCAAUUAAACUUAGCAGGCUUCCACAGGUGAUGGGGUUUGAAGGAUGCAAAGGUUAUUUCCCACAUUUUUUAACACGGCAGAAAACCAACAUUAUGUGGGGUCUUUCCCAAAUUGGAGUACUACAGCAUUGAAAAUAUGAUGAGAAAGAACAGUUUUUAAAAUGGUAUCAGGAUAACCGUGGUAAGAUCUUUGACAUGCAAAAGGAGCUGGCCUAUUAUUGCCAGCAGGACAAAAAUUUUGAACGAGGCCUGCUGCCUCUACAGGGAUGAGAUCAUGAAAAUGCCAUGGUGGGUAGACUGAGUGAAAGUACAUGGUGAACUCCAAAAUGUAGUAUGCUGCAUAGAUCCUUUCCAAUACAUCACGCUGGCCUCUGUCUGCAUGGCCAUGUACAGGUUUAUGUUUUUGGAACCGCAGACCAUAGCACUUUUCCCCCUAGACAACUAUCACAGACAGAAAAAGAGGUUUUCAACCCCAUCUAUCCAGUGGCUAACGUACAUUUCAGAGAAAGAAAAUAUUCAAACUCAACAAGCCUCACAGGGUGGGGAAUUUCAGGUAGGCUCCUAUUUUUUAGACAGGUAUGCCAACAUUGAUGGGGAACCUACGGCAUUUGAAUUUAAUGGAUUUUUUUUCACAGUUGUGUCACUUGCGACAAAGAGAAAGACCAGAACCCAUUGACAGGGACCACCUUCGGGUUUCUGAAUUACCAGGCACUGAACAAGACCGAUUAUCUCAAGAGAGAGGGGUUUACCGUUAGGACCAUUUGGGAGCACGAGUGAAGGGCUCUGUUAGAAAUGGAUAAGGAGCUGGCAGAUUUUUGAAGCAGAACCCUGCUGCCUUCUCCAAUGGUGCCUAGGGAAGCUCUUUUUGGGGGGAGAACUAAUGCCAUCUGUCUAUAUUAUCAAACUAAACCCAGAGAACAAAUACACUAUUACGAUGUUACCAGUCUUUACCCCUUCAUAAACAAAAUGAAGGAAUACCCAAUCGGACACCCUGAAAUCAUUCAUGACAAUUUCCAACCCCUGUUGAGCUAUUUUGGAACAGCCAGGGUGAAACUGUACCCACCGCGAAACCUUUUUUUCCCUGUGCUACCCACCAGGGUGAACAGGAAACUUAUGUUCGCGCUGUGCCGCCUCUGUGUGGAAACAAGACAGCAAAAGUGCGACCACACUGCUGAAGAGAGGGCCCGCCUAGGCACGUGGUGCACACCAGAAUUGAAUAAAGCUAUCACCAAGGGGUACAGAGUAGCUCAAAUCUAUGAAGUCUGGCAUUUUGCUGAGAGGUCUAGCACCCUUUUUUCAUGGUACAUAAAAAUGCACCUCUGACAGAAGCAGGAAGCCUCGGGCUACCCUGCCUGGUGUACCGACCAAGAAAAACAAGAGAUACAUGGCCAAUUUCUUGCAAAAAGAAGGCGUGACCUUAUGCCCAGAGCAUAUCAAACCCAACCUUCAAAGCACGAAAUAGCAAGAUUGUUUCUAAAUUCUUUGUGGGGUAAAUUCAGUCAUAGAACCAACUUGCCCAACACCAGCAUCGUUAGAGACCCCGAAGGACUCUUUGGCUAUCCCUUUUCUCCCGUCUAUGAAAUUUCAUCUUGCGACUUUAUUGAUGAUGAGGCAGCCUGCGUGUCUCAGAAGCACACCAAAGAGCGUGACAUGCUCUCGGGUAACACAAACAUCUUUAUAGCCUGUUUCACCAUUGUUUAUGCAUGCUUAGAGUUGAGAAAAAUGCAGAAAGUUGCUUAUGACAAAAGAGUCCUCACAGAAAACUUUAACAGUCUCCCCUAUGGUGUUUAAACAUGGAUCUGUGCUGGAAGCAUCCCUUUUCUGUGAUUUUGGCAGGCCCUAGCAACUGUGGUAAAAGUUACUUAAAAAAAACCUUCUGGAUCACGCUGAUCGAAUGUUGUCUGUUAUGCCUGAAAAUACUGUGUGGUGCUAUAGCUGUUGGCAGCCUUUGUAUAAAGAACUGCUUUGUAAAUAUCCUUUUAUCAAGUUUGUGGAGGGUCUACUGGACAGUCUCAACGACGACUGUUUGCUUCCUCCUAAUAAAAUAAAUACGGAUGUGGUAGAUGA
Alligator mississippiensis (American alligator) is the source of this 5101-nucleotide long non-coding RNA. RefSeq lists it as uncharacterized. The transcript has 5 exons. The record is from RefSeq and is a predicted model, not a curated record. NCBI's taxonomy places the organism in Eukaryota, Metazoa, Chordata, Crocodylia, Alligatoridae.